AUUGAACGCUGGCGGCAGGCCUAACACAUGCAAGUCGAGCGGAUGAAGGGAGCUUGCUCCUGGAUUCAGCGGCGGACGGGUGAGUAAUGCCUAGGAAUCUGCCUGGUAGUGGGGGAUAACGUCAGGAAACGGGCGCUAAUACCGCAUACGUCCUGAGGUAGAACGUGGGGGAUCUUCGGACCUCGCGCUAUCAGAUGAGCCUAGGUCGGAUUAGCUAGUUGGUGAGGUAAAGGCCUACCAAGGCGACGAUCCGUAACUGGUCUGAGAGGAUGAUCAGUCACACUGGAACUGAGACACGGUCCAGACUCCUACGGGAGGCAGCAGUGGGGAAUCUUGGACAAUGGGCGAAAGCCUGACGCAGCCAUGCCGCGUGUGUGAAGAAGGUCUUCGGAUUGUAAAGCACUUUAAGUUGGGAGGAAGGGCAGUAAGUUAAUACCUUGCUGUUUUGACGGUACCAACAGAAUAAGCAACGGCUAACUUCGUG
RNAcentral lists this ribosomal RNA (484 nucleotides) under uncultured bacterium. RNAcentral describes it as "partial 16S ribosomal RNA". It matches the Rfam family "Bacterial small subunit ribosomal RNA", at positions 30 to 507 of the family's 1533-position model. The record is from RNAcentral.